AAAGCAGAAGAGAGCACAGACAGGAUGCCUGACCCAAAUCAGCCAAAGGGCUAUUCCAUACCACAGCACAUCAUGCCCAGUAUAGAAACUGGGGGAGUUAUCCGGAAGGGAUCAA
This is a long non-coding RNA of Strigops habroptila (Kakapo), 115 nucleotides long. RefSeq lists it as uncharacterized. Lineage: Eukaryota; Metazoa; Chordata; Aves; Psittaciformes; Psittacidae. The record is from RefSeq and is a predicted model, not a curated record. The transcript is spliced from 3 exons.